UUCUCUUCAAAUCGUAUAAAUCUUUCACCUUUUCCUAAAGAUUUCUGUGGAGACGGA
This 57-nucleotide small nuclear RNA is filed under the name Piliocolobus tephrosceles (Ugandan red Colobus). RNAcentral's name for it is "U5 spliceosomal RNA (ENSPTEG00000036460.1)". The stretch from base 4 to 53 matches the Rfam family "U5 spliceosomal RNA", at positions 14 to 63 of the family's 117-position model. From Rfam's summary of the family: U5 RNA is a component of both types of known spliceosome. The precise function of this molecule is unknown, though it is known that the 5' loop is required for splice site selection and p220 binding, and that both the 3' stem-loop and the Sm site are important for Sm protein binding and cap methylation. Lineage: Eukaryota; Metazoa; Chordata; Mammalia; Primates; Cercopithecidae. The record is from RNAcentral.